This 84-nucleotide transfer RNA is filed under the name Modestobacter sp. Leaf380. RNAcentral describes it as "tRNA-Leu". It matches the Rfam family "tRNA". Rfam says of the family: Transfer RNA (tRNA) molecules are approximately 80 nucleotides in length. Their secondary structure includes four short double-helical elements and three loops (D, anti-codon, and T loops). Further hydrogen bonds mediate the characteristic L-shaped molecular structure. tRNAs have two regions of fundamental functional importance: the anti-codon, which is responsible for specific mRNA codon recognition, and the 3' end, to which the tRNAs corresponding amino acid is attached (by aminoacyl-tRNA synthetases). tRNAs cope with the degeneracy of the genetic code in two manners: having more than one tRNA (with a specific anti-codon) for a particular amino acid; and 'wobble' base-pairing, i.e. permitting non-standard base-pairing at the 3rd anti-codon position. Lineage: Bacteria; Bacillati; Actinomycetota; Actinomycetes; Geodermatophilales; Geodermatophilaceae. The record is from RNAcentral.
GCGGGAGUGGUGUAACGGCAGCCACGCCAGCCUUAGGAGCUGGUGCCCUCGGGCGUGCGGGUUCGACUCCCGCCUCCCGCACGA